Molecule: ribosomal RNA, 399 nt
Filed under: Triticum aestivum (bread wheat)
Lineage: Eukaryota; Viridiplantae; Streptophyta; Magnoliopsida; Poales; Poaceae
Description: partial small subunit ribosomal RNA
Source: RNAcentral
AUGCUGCAGUGGGCAGUGCAUAGGCAGGUGCUGCCAGACCUUGGCCUUGGUAAUGUGACCCCGAGGGCUUCCAUUUUUGCUAAUGAUGCGAUCCUCUUCUUCAAGCCUCAGUUCAAUGAUCUCCAAGUGGUUGCAGCCACUUUGCAGCUGUUUGGUCAGGUAUCUGGCCUUCGCAUCAACAUGCAGAAGAGCUCGAUCAUGUGCAUUCGCUGCGAUGAAGAACUUGCAUCCUCGGUGGCGCGGCACUUUGGCUGUCGAAAGCAGGGUUUUCCUAUCAAGUACUUGGGUCUGCCACUCUCGGUUUUCAGAUUGAAACGCCAGGAUAUUAUGCCUCUGGUGGACAGAUACUCCAACAAGAUGAAGGGUUGGAAACCAAAGCUCUUGCUGGCUGCGGGGUGA